This 497-nucleotide ribosomal RNA is filed under the name uncultured bacterium. Its description in RNAcentral is "partial 16S ribosomal RNA". It matches the Rfam family "Bacterial small subunit ribosomal RNA", at positions 28 to 507 of the family's 1533-position model. The record is from RNAcentral.
GAUGAACGCUGGCGGCGUGCCUAAUACAUGCAAGUCGAGCGAACAGACGAGGAGCUUGCUCCUCUGACGUUAGCGGCGGACGGGUGAGUAACACGUGGAUAACCUACCUAUAAGACUGGGAUAACUUCGGGAAACCGGAGCUAAUACCGGAUAAUAUAUUGAACCGCAUGGUUCAAUAGUGAAAGACGGUUUUGCUGUCACUUAUAGAUGGAUCCGCGCCGCAUUAGCUAGUUGGUAAGGUAACGGCUUACCAAGGCAACGAUGCGUAGCCGACCUGAGAGGGUGAUCGGCCACACUGGAACGGAGACACGGUCCAGACUCCUACGGGAGGCAGCAGUAGGGAAUCUUCAGCAAUGGGCGAAAGCUUGACGGAGCAACGCCGCGUGAGUGAUGAAGGUCUUCGGAUCGUAAAACUCUGUUAUUAGGGAAGAACAAAUGUGUAAGUAACUAUGCACGUCUUGACGGUACCUAAUCAGAAAGCCACGGCUAACUACGUG